This 292-nucleotide long non-coding RNA is filed under the name Hordeum vulgare. RNAcentral's name for it is "long non-coding RNA (HVUL_LNC016417)". The record is from RNAcentral. Lineage: Eukaryota; Viridiplantae; Streptophyta; Magnoliopsida; Poales; Poaceae.
UUUGCUUCCUUAUGCCUUUUGGCGUUCUCGGUCGGUGUUUCAGAUUGUGUUUCUCCCUUUUCUUUUUCUGUCCACCAUCUUUGCUUCCUUAUGCCAUUUGGUGUUCUCAGUCGGUAUCAUUAUUAAGCUCCAUUCAACUAGACGCUAGCUAAUACGUACAUAUAACAAUGAAGGAACUGUUACACGAUAUCGUCAUGAAUAUAGAGAGAAGUGACCUCUCUGUCUCCAUGCUUGGUCGAACAAGAAGUUUUCGUAUAUCUAUUCGAUGAUACUACAUAUAGUACACGUUCAU